AGAUUGAACGCUGGCGCGGGAUGCUUUUUUUGGCACAUGCAAGUCGAACGGCAGCACGGACUUCGGUCUGGUGGCGAGCGGCGAACGGGUGAGUAAUGCAUCGGAACGUGCCUAGUAGCGGGGGAUAACUACGCGAAAGCGUAGCUAAUACCGCAUACGCCCUUCGGGGAAAGCGGGGGACCUUCGGGCCUCGCGACCAUUAGGAGCGGUCGAUAUCGGAUUAGCUAGUUGGUGGGGUAACGCCCGGGCUAAGGCGACGAUCCGUAGCUGGUUUGAGAGGACGACCAGCCUGCUGAUUCGGGACUGAGACACGGCCUAGACUCCUACGGGAGGCAGCAGUGGGGAAUUUUGGACAAUGGGGGGAAACUCCCGAUCCAGCCAUCCCGCGUGUGCGAUGAAGGCCUUCGGGUUGUAAAGCACUUUUGGCAGGAAAGAAACGGCAUCGAUAAUACCCCGUGCAACUGACGGUACCUGCAGAAUAAUCGGCUAACUACGUGCCAGCAGCCGCGGUAAUACGUAGGGUGCAAGCGUUAAUCGGACUACUGGCGUAAAGCGUGCGCAGGCGGUUCGGAAAGAAAGAGAUGUGAAAUCCCAGAGCUAACUUUGGAACUGCAUUUUUAACUACCGAGCUAGAGUGUGUCAGAGGGAGGCGGAAUUCCGCGUGUAGCAGUGAAAUGCGUAGAUAUGCGGAGGAACACCCGAUGGCGAAGGCAGCCUUGGAUAACACUGACGUCAAGCACGAAAGCGUGGGGAGCAAACAGGAUGAUAACGUAUAGUCUACGCCCCAAACGAUAAUCUUAGGCUUAAGCAAAUUUCUGGCCUUGGUAUGCAGCUGGAUCAAAGUGAAAGACCGCCUGGGAGUACGGUCGCAAGAUUAAAACUCAAAGGAAUUGACGGGACCCGCACAAGCGGUGGAUGAUGUGGAUUAAUUGACGCACGCGAACCCUACCUACCCUUGACAUGUCUGGAAUCCCGAAGAGAUUUGGGGAGUGCCUGCAAGAGAACCGGAACACAGGUGCUGCAUGGCUGCCGUCAGCUCGCCGUGAGAUGUUGCCAAGUCCCGAACGAGCUGCAACCUUGUCAUUAGUUUGCUACGAAAGGGCACUCUAAUGAGACUGCCGGUGACAAACUGAGGAAGUAGGAUGACGUUUGAGUCUCAUGGCCCUUAUGGGUAGGGCUUCACACGCUGCAGCAAUGAUGGGACAGAGGUCGCCAACUCCUACAGGGGAGCCAACCCCAGAAACCGAUCGUAGUCCGAUCGAAGCCUGCAACUCGACGCGCAGGUCGGACCUGCUAGCAUCGCGGAUCAGCAGGUUGUGGGUGAAUACGUUCCUUGGCCUCGUACACACUGCCUGCCGUCACCGCAUGGGAGUGGGUUUUGCCAGAGAUAGUUAGGUCAAAACCGUAAGGAGGCGAUUACCGUAGGAUUCAUGACUGGGGUGAAGUCGUAACAGGUA
RNAcentral lists this ribosomal RNA (1457 nucleotides) under uncultured Bordetella sp. RNAcentral's name for it is "partial 16S-23S ribosomal RNA intergenic spacer". It matches the Rfam family "Bacterial small subunit ribosomal RNA". Lineage: Bacteria; Pseudomonadati; Pseudomonadota; Betaproteobacteria; Burkholderiales; Alcaligenaceae. The record is from RNAcentral.